This 439-nucleotide ribosomal RNA is filed under the name uncultured bacterium. RNAcentral describes it as "partial 16S ribosomal RNA". It matches the Rfam family "Bacterial small subunit ribosomal RNA", at positions 338 to 795 of the family's 1533-position model. The record is from RNAcentral.
CCUACGGGGGGCAGCAGUGGGGGAUAUUGCACAAUGGGGGGAACCCUGAUGCAGCGACGCCGCGUGAGCGAAGAAGUACCUCGGUAUGUAAAGCUCUAUCAGCAGGGAAGAAAAUGACGGUACCUGACUAAGAAGCACCGGCUAAAUACGUGCCAGCAGCCGCGGUAAUACGUAUGGGGCAAGCGUUAUCCGGAUUUAUUGGGUUUAACGGUUGCGGAGGCGGAUUGCAAAGUCAGCGGUACAAUCGCGGGGAUCAACCUCGCUCCGCCGUUGAAACUGGCGUGCUGGAGUGGGCGAGAAGUAUGCGGAAUGCGUGGUGUAGCGGUGAAAUGCGUAGAUAUCACGCAGAACUCCGAUUGCGAAGGCAGCAAACCGGCGCCCAACUGACGCUGAAGAACGAAAGCGUGGGUAUCGAACAGGAGUAGAUACCCGAGUAGUC